RNAcentral lists this transfer RNA (60 nucleotides) under Dipodomys ordii (Ord's kangaroo rat). It matches the Rfam family "tRNA", at positions 7 to 64 of the family's 71-position model. Rfam says of the family: Transfer RNA (tRNA) molecules are approximately 80 nucleotides in length. The record is from Rfam by way of RNAcentral. Lineage: Eukaryota; Metazoa; Chordata; Mammalia; Rodentia; Heteromyidae.
GUGGCUCAGUGGUAGAGUGCUUGCCUCGCAUGCAUGAGGCUCUGGGUUCAAUUCCUCAGC